RNAcentral lists this long non-coding RNA (284 nucleotides) under Mytilus galloprovincialis (Mediterranean mussel). The record is from RNAcentral. Lineage: Eukaryota; Metazoa; Mollusca; Bivalvia; Mytilida; Mytilidae.
GUGUGGUAUACAGUCUUUGAGAUAGGUAAUUGUUCUCUUAGGACUUUCAGAUAUAUUCAUGGACACGUAAUCUUUGUUGGUGUACCGAGCUUUCGUGGUUAAUUGGUUCUGUUGCCAAUUCAUGUGUUGCUCUAAAAUCUCAUGGGAUACUUCAGCAGCAUUGAUUUUGUAAAAUUGGAAAAUUAAAUGAGUGUUGGAACAAUACAAAAUUUGAUUAUAAUUUUACAAAAUCAAUUCUGCUGCUGAGGUAUCACAUGCCCACCCAAGACCCACCCAGAUUACUU